UUUAAUUUGGCUUUGGUUAUUAUAUAAGUUAUUGCUAGGUUUGUAUAUGUUAGGUUUGUGUGUAUGUCGUUUUGUUUGAGUAUUUUAUUAUUUAUAUAGUUUAAUAUUUGUUAAGUAAUAAUUUAUAUUAUUAGUAUUUUAUUAAUAUAAUAUAAGUGAGCUACGCAGUAUUUAUGGUUAUACAAUGGAUGAAAGUUUGAUAUAGUUAAUGUGUUAAGAGGUGGUUAAACUAGUGCCAGCAUCUGCGGUUAUACUAGUACUUUUAAUUUAUAUAUAUAUAGUAUAAAAUAAAGUAGAGAUUUGUAAUGUGGAUAGAGUAAAUGAGAGUAAUGAUUGUAGGUAAAAUUUAAUUGUUAUUAUUAAUUAUAUUACUCUAAUGUUAAAUUCUUUGAAAGUAAGGUUGAGUAAACUAGGAUUAGAGACCCUAUUAUUCUUUAUUUUAAAAAUUUUUAUUACUUAAGUAGUAUAAACAUAAAUGUGAUAUUUAGUUUUAUGUGUGUUUGAAACUUAAAAGGCUUGGCGGUGUUAUAUAUCCUCCCAGGGGAGUUUGCUUAUUAAUUUGAUAAUCCUCAAUUUAUACUUACUUUUUUUUGAAUAAAACAGUUUGUAUAUUGCUGUCGUCAGUUUAUUUUGUAAAAAUUUUGGAAAAAACUUAAUAACGAAGUGGUUGUAAUGUCAAGUCAAAAUGCAGCUAAUGAAAAAGGUUUAAAGUGAGCUACGAUUUAUAAUUUUUAAUCAGAUUAAGUUAUGUAAUUGACUUAUGAAGUUGGACUUGGUAGUAAUAAAACGGAUAUAAAUAGUGGGUUUUUGUGAAUUAGGUUUUAUAACGCGUACAUAUCGCCCGUCGCUCUUGUUGGGAAAUAAGAUAAGUCGUAACAUAGUAGGGGUAGCGGAAGCUGUUCCUGGAAUGUAAUUA
Molecule: non-coding RNA, 916 nt
Filed under: Architeuthis dux (giant squid)
Lineage: Eukaryota; Metazoa; Mollusca; Cephalopoda; Oegopsida; Architeuthidae
Description: 12S ribosomal RNA
Rfam family: Microsporidia small subunit ribosomal RNA (bases 459-905)
Source: RNAcentral